GACGAACGCUGGCGGCGUGCUUAACACAUGCAAGUCGAACGGAAAGGCCCUGCUUUUGCGUGGUGCUCGUGUGGCGAACGGGUGAGUAACACGUGAGUAACCUGCCCUUGACUUUGGGAUAACUUCAGGAAACUGCGGCUAAUACCGGAUAGGAGCUCCUGCUGCAUGGUGGUGGUUGGAAAGAUUCGGCGGUUGGGGAUGGACUCGCGGGGUAUCCGCUUGAUGGUGGGGUAGUGGCUUACCCAGGUUAUGAGGGGUAGCGGGCCUGAGAGGGUGACCGGCCACACUGGGACUGAGGGACGGCAGAGACAGCUACGGUAGGCAGCAGUGGGGAAGAUUGCAGAAGGGGCGGAAGCCGGAUGAAGCAACGCCGCGUGCGGGAAAACGGCCUUAGGGGGGUAGACCGCUUUUGCAAGUGACUAAGCGUGAGUGACGGUAACGGGUAAAGAAGCACCGGCUAACUACGUG
This 468-nucleotide ribosomal RNA is filed under the name uncultured bacterium. RNAcentral's name for it is "partial 16S ribosomal RNA". It matches the Rfam family "Bacterial small subunit ribosomal RNA", at positions 28 to 507 of the family's 1533-position model. The record is from RNAcentral.